UACGGGGGGGGUAAGCGUUGUUCGGAAUUACUGGGCGUAAAGGGCUCGUAGACGGCCAACUAAGUCAGACGUGAAAUCCCUCAGCUUAACUGGGGAACUGCGUCUGAUACUGGAUGGCUUGGAUUCGGGAGAGGAAUGCGGAAUUCCAGGUGUAGCGGUGAAAUGCGUAGAUAUCUGGAGGAACACCGGUGGCGAAGGCGGCAUUCUGGACCAAUACUGACGCUGAGGAGCGAAAGCCAGGGGAGCAAACGGG
RNAcentral lists this ribosomal RNA (253 nucleotides) under uncultured bacterium. RNAcentral's name for it is "partial 16S ribosomal RNA". It matches the Rfam family "Bacterial small subunit ribosomal RNA", at positions 524 to 776 of the family's 1533-position model. The record is from RNAcentral.